This 508-nucleotide ribosomal RNA is filed under the name uncultured bacterium. RNAcentral's name for it is "partial 16S ribosomal RNA". It matches the Rfam family "Bacterial small subunit ribosomal RNA", at positions 355 to 866 of the family's 1533-position model. The record is from RNAcentral.
UGGGGAAUAUUGGCACAAUGGGCGCAAGCCUGAUGCAGCAACGCCGCGUGAGGGAUGACGGCCUUCGGGCUUGUAAAACCUCUUUUUAGUAGGGAAAGAAGCGAAAGUGACGGUACCUGCAGAAAAAGCACCGGCUAACUACGUGCCAGCAGCCGCGGUAAUACGUAGGGUGCGAGCGUUGUCCGGAAUUAUUGGGCGUAAAGAGCUCGUAGGCGGUCUGUCGCGUCUGCUGUGAAAAUCCCGAGGCUCAACCUCGGGCCUGCAGUGGGUACGGGCAGACUAGAGUGCGGUAGGGGAGAAUGGAAUUCCUGGUGUAGCGGUGGAAUGCGCAGAUAUCAGGAGGAACACCGAUGGCGAAGGCAGUUCUCUGGGCCGUAACUGACGCUGAGGAGCGAAAGCGUGGGGAGCGAACAGGAUUAGAUACCCUGGUAGUCCACGCCGUAAACGUUGGGCGCUAGAUGUGGGGCACCAUUCCACGGUUUCCGUGUCGCAGCUAACGCAUUAAGCG